RNAcentral lists this ribosomal RNA (746 nucleotides) under uncultured Omnitrophica bacterium. RNAcentral describes it as "bacterial SSU rRNA". It matches the Rfam family "Bacterial small subunit ribosomal RNA", at positions 193 to 935 of the family's 1533-position model. Lineage: Bacteria; Pseudomonadati; Candidatus Omnitrophota. The record is from RNAcentral.
UCGGUUGCUCGAGAGCCUGUUGUUUGAAGAGGAGUCCGCGUCCUAUCAGCUUGUUGGUGAGGUAAUGGCUCACCAAGGCAUUUGACGGGUAGCUGGUCUAAGAGGAUGGUCAGCCACACUGGGACUGAGACACUGCCCAGACUCCUACGGGAGGCUGCAGUCGAGAAUCUUUUGCAAUGGGCGAAAGCCUGACAAUGCGACGCCGCGUGAGCGAUGAAGGUCUUCGGAUUGUAAAGCUCUGUUGCAGGGGAUGAAAGCAUUUGAUAUGAAUAGUGUCAAGUGUUGACAGUACCCUGAGAGGAAGCCACGGCUAACUCCGUGCCAGCAGCCGCGGUAAUACGGAGGUGGCAAGCGUUGUUCGGAUUGAUUGGGCGUAAAGGGCAUGUAGGCGUCCUGGUAAGUCGAAUGUGAAAUCCCGCAGCUCAACUGCGGAACUACAUUCGAAACUGCCGGGAUUGAGUACGGAAGGGGAGAAUGGAAUUCCCGGUGUAAGGGUGAAAUCUGUAGAUAUCGGGAGGAACACCAGUGGCGAAGGCGAUUCUCUGGUCCGAUACUGACGUUGAAAUGCGAAAGCUAGGGGAGCAAACAGGAUUAGAUACCCUGGUAGUCCUAGCCGUAAACGAUGGACACUAGGUGUUGGUCCGAAAGGAUCGGUGCCGCAGUUAACGCAUUAAGUGUCCCACCUGGGGAGUACGUCGGCAACGAUGAAACUCAAAGGAAUUGACGGGGGCUCACACAAGCGGUGG